Molecule: small nucleolar RNA, 136 nt
Organism: Limanda limanda (common dab)
Lineage: Eukaryota; Metazoa; Chordata; Actinopteri; Pleuronectiformes; Pleuronectidae
Product: small nucleolar RNA SNORD10
Exons: 1
Source: RefSeq, a predicted model, not a curated record
GUAUAGUGAUGAAAUCCAUGCGUGUCAUAUGACUCUGUUACUCCUGGUGUGUUGUUGGUCUUGUCGGCGUUCUGCAGACUCUAAUCCUCAAGGCAGCAGGGAUUCAGAGACAUGAUCACACUUAACUUCUGAAUAC